RNAcentral lists this ribosomal RNA (524 nucleotides) under uncultured bacterium. RNAcentral's name for it is "partial 16S ribosomal RNA". It matches the Rfam family "Bacterial small subunit ribosomal RNA", at positions 355 to 895 of the family's 1533-position model. The record is from RNAcentral.
UGGGGAAUAUUGCACAAUGGGCGAAAGCCUGAUGCAGCAACGCCGCGUGAGUGAUGAAGGCCUUCGGGUUGUAAAGCUCUGUCUUUUGGGACGAUAAUGACGGUACCAAAGGAGGAAGCCACGGCUAACUACGUGCCAGCAGCCGCGGUAAUACGUAGGUGGCAAGCGUUGUCCGGAUUUACUAGGCGUAAAGGAUGCGUAGGCGGAUUUUUAAGUGAGAUGUGAAAUACCCGGGCUUAACUUGGGUGCUGCAUUUCAAACUGGGAAUCUAGAGUGCGGGAGAGGAGAAUGGAAUUCCUAGUGUAGCGGUGAAAUGCGUAGAGAUUAGGAAGAACACCAGUGGCGAAGGCGAUUCUCUGGACCGUAACUGACGCUGAGGCAUGAAAGCGUGGGUAGCAAACAGGAUUAGAUACCCUGGUAGUCCACGCCGUAAACGAUGAGUACUAGGUGUAGGAGGUAUCGACCCCUUCUGUGCCGCAGUUAACACAAUAAGUACUCCGCCUGGGAAGUACGAUCGCAAGAUU